This 252-nucleotide ribosomal RNA is filed under the name uncultured bacterium. Its description in RNAcentral is "partial 16S ribosomal RNA". It matches the Rfam family "Bacterial small subunit ribosomal RNA", at positions 524 to 776 of the family's 1533-position model. The record is from RNAcentral.
UACGUAUGGGGCGAGCGUUAUCCGGAUUCAUUGGGCGUAAAGCGCGCGUAGGCGGCCGCCUAAGCGGAACCUCUAACCCCGGGGCUCAACCUCGGGCCGGGUUCCGGACUGGGCGGCUCGAGUGCGGUAGAGGAGAGCGGAAUUCCCGGUGUAGCGGUGGAAUGCGCAGAUAUCGGGAAGAACACCGAUGGCGAAGGCAGCUCUCUGGGCCGUGACUGACGUUGAGGCUCGAGAGCGUGGGGAGCAAACAGG